AGAGUUUGAUCAUGGCUCAGGAUAAACGACUGGCGGCGCACAUAAGACAUGCAAGUCGAACGGACUUAACUCUUCUUUUAGAUUGAGAGCGGUUAGUGGCGGACUGGUGAGUAACGCGUGAGUAACCUGCCUAUUAGAGGGGAAUAACAGUGAGAAAUCACUGCUAAUACCGCAUAUGCUCACAGUACCACAUGGUACAGUGAGGAAAGGAGCAAUCCGCUAAUAGAUGGACUCGCGUCUGAUUAGCUAGUUGGUGGGGCAACGGCCUACCAAGGCGACGAUCAGUAGCCGGACUGAGAGGUUGAACGGCCACAUUGGGACUGAGAUACGGCCCAGACUCCUACGGGAGGCAGCAGUCGGGAAUAUUGCGCAAUGGAGGAAAAACCUCUGACGCAGUGACGCCGCGUAUAGGAAGAAGGUUUUCGGAUUGUAAACUAUUGUCGUUAGGGAAGAAAAAAGACAGUACCUAAGGAGGAAGCCCCGGCUAACUAUGUGCCAGCAGCAGC
RNAcentral lists this ribosomal RNA (506 nucleotides) under uncultured bacterium. RNAcentral's name for it is "bacterial SSU rRNA". It matches the Rfam family "Bacterial small subunit ribosomal RNA", at positions 8 to 518 of the family's 1533-position model. The record is from RNAcentral.